Molecule: unclassified non-coding RNA, 223 nt
Filed under: Hevea brasiliensis (rubber tree)
Lineage: Eukaryota; Viridiplantae; Streptophyta; Magnoliopsida; Malpighiales; Euphorbiaceae
Source: RNAcentral
GGUUGUAAAUUUAUUGUAGAGGUCGUUAUUUAAUUUUGACAAAUUAAUUGUUAUUUCUUUUAUUUAGAAACUUUUAGCUGGUUAGUUGUUUACUUAAAUUUCCAUUGGUAUAAUGGUAUCAAGUACCAAUGAAUGAGGAUCAAGUUUGUUUUAGUGAUCAAGCUUCCCUGCGUUAAUGCUUUCAAAUACAACGUAGUAUUUACUAUUUUAUGCUAUUUUCAGA